Caenorhabditis elegans is the source of this 94-nucleotide microRNA precursor. NCBI's taxonomy places the organism in Eukaryota, Metazoa, Nematoda, Chromadorea, Rhabditida, Rhabditidae. The record is from Ensembl.
AUUCUUGAAAACUCCAAUAGUUUCUCUGGGAAAGCUAUCGGCCAAAUUUAACUGUCCGAGCUGCCCUCAGAAAAACUCUUGGCUCAUCGAGAAA